UUAGUUGAGAUUUGGCUUUCUCUGCUUUCACGUCAGGUCAGACACUUACAACAAAAACUUGAAAAAGGGACUUGAAGCACCCAGGAUGUUGAAGCGCUCUACAGUUUUGAUUUCACUCUGUUCCUUGUUAACUAUGUUUGUUUUAUGGGUUUUGAUCCGAGAUGGUCUUCCACGGACAACUGAGGUCCUCAGGUUUAAGUUUGGCUGACGUGAUGAGAGGUGUGUCUUAUACGUUGGGUACUUCCAAAGUUCGCAAGUUGUGGAACAUCAGUACCUCAACAUCCAUGUUUUUCGUGGAAACCAAUCCAAAAGUGUUGUCAUUGCCACCCAGAGUGAUGUGUGCCCUAGAGAGUGCUGCUCUUCAUAAUCCGGACCGACAGGUUUAUCACAUCGCUCAAAAAGAUAUCGGCGUUCACGAGUAUGAGCUGGUUUUACAUCAAUAUUCAAAUAUUCAGUUUCUCAAGAGGAACUUCAAUGAUUUGAUCUUGAGGUCACCGGUGGAGUCUAUUUAUAGCCAAACCUUGAGUGGCACGUCGUUCGAGGUCAAAAAUCUGAGUGAUAUUCUAAGAUUAAUGGUUCUGUUUUUCUUUGGUGGGGUUUACAUGGACACUGAUGUGAUAUCUUUGAACAGAGUUCCAAGUGAUUAAAACUUCUUAAUUUAAUUUCGAAAGAACUACAUAAACUUUGCAGUGGGUGGAUUUAAGUCUCACCAUCCAUUUAUUUAUGAGGCUUUGCUUAACAUGGCCAAGGAUUUUCGACCCGAACACUGGGCUUACAACGGACCAAACCUAGUAACUAGAGUGGCCAAAAUAUAUUGUCCCGCCCAUGGUGGAACGGCAUCCGAAAACAGUGUAGAUGGGAUGUGGUCUUGGAAAUGUGGAGACAUUCAGAUUUUGAAUAGUACCAAUGCUUACGCAAUCGACUACAGGGAUUUCAGAAAUCUGUUCAACACAUCUCAUUCCACAGAGAUUGAAGCUGCCAUUUCCAAUAGCUUUGCGAUGCAUUACUGGAACAAAAUGAUAAGUUGGCAUGGUAGAGUCACAUUGCGUGAAGACCAACCUCUCUACAAGAUAUUUCGGCAAAAUUGUCCCGUUACUGAAGAAUUUUACUUGAGACCUCUUUUGAAUCAACGAUUCCAUAUUCGAGAUAAAUCGACGAAAAUGCGUAGAACAAUAGGCACUCACUCGGUUCAACAAAGAGUGGUCAAUUAAAACAUGCAAGACGUCAUGACUCAAUAGGCUCAUCGUACAUACUUUGUAAAGUUUAGAUAUUAAUAUUCUCUUGAUAUGCUAAAACACACUGUAUGUAAUAAAGAAUUCUAAAAUCA
Tigriopus californicus is the source of this 1327-nucleotide long non-coding RNA. RefSeq lists it as uncharacterized. The transcript has 2 exons. NCBI's taxonomy places the organism in Eukaryota, Metazoa, Arthropoda, Copepoda, Harpacticoida, Harpacticidae. The record is from RefSeq and is a predicted model, not a curated record.